CAGUCGCCGCGGGAAUACGAAGGGGGCUAGCGUUGCUCGGAAUGACUGGGCGUAAAGCGCACGUAGGCGGCUUGGUAAGUUAGAGGUGAAAGCCUGGAGCUCAACUCCAGAAUUGCCUUUGAGACUGCCGAGCUAGCAGGUGAGAGAGGUAAGUGGAAUUCCGAGUGUAGAGGUGAAAUUCGUAGAUAUUCGGAAGAACACCAGUGGCGAAGGCGGCUUACUGGCUCAUACUGGACGCUGAGGUGCGAAAGCGUGGGGAGCAAACAGGAUUAGAUACCCCAGUAGUCCCUGUCUCUUAUAC
Molecule: ribosomal RNA, 301 nt
Filed under: uncultured bacterium
Lineage: Bacteria
Description: partial 16S ribosomal RNA
Rfam family: Bacterial small subunit ribosomal RNA
Source: RNAcentral